Molecule: ribosomal RNA, 479 nt
Filed under: Penicillium sp.
Lineage: Eukaryota; Fungi; Ascomycota; Eurotiomycetes; Eurotiales; Aspergillaceae
Description: eukaryotic LSU rRNA
Rfam family: 5.8S ribosomal RNA (bases 120-272)
Source: RNAcentral
GAAGAUUCCGUAGGUGAACCGGCGGAUAUGCAUAUCAAUCAGCCGAGGACGCUUCCGUAGAAGACACCCUCGAACUCUGUCUGAAGAUUGUAGACUGAGUGACAAUAUAAAUUAUUUAAAACUUUCAACAACGGAUCUCUUGGUUCCGGCAUCGAUGAAGAACGCAGCGAAAUGCGAUACGUAAUGUGAAUUGCAAAUUCGGUGAAUCAUCGAGUCUUUGAACGCACAUUGCGCCCCCUGGUAUUCCGGGGGGCAUGCCUGUCCGAGCGUCAUUGCUGCCCUCAAGCACGGCUUGUGUGUUGGGCCCCGUCCUCCGAUCCCGGGGACGGGCCCGAAAGGCAGCGGCGGCACCGCGUCCGGUCCUCGAGCGUAUGGGGCUUUGUCACCCGCUCUGUAGGCCCGGCCGGCGCUUGCCGAUCAACCCAAAUUGUUAUCCAGGUUGACCUCAGAUCAGGUAGGGAUACCCGCUGAACUUAAGC